This 489-nucleotide ribosomal RNA is filed under the name Streptococcus parasanguinis. Its description in RNAcentral is "bacterial SSU rRNA". It matches the Rfam family "Bacterial small subunit ribosomal RNA", at positions 28 to 500 of the family's 1533-position model. The record is from RNAcentral. Lineage: Bacteria; Bacillati; Bacillota; Bacilli; Lactobacillales; Streptococcaceae.
GAUGAACGCUGGCGGCGUGCCUAAUACAUGCAAGUAGAACGCUGAAGCUUGGUGCUUGCACCGAGCGGAUGAGUUGCGAACGGGUGAGUAACGCGUAGGUAACCUGCCUCUUAGCGGGGGAUAACUAUUGGAAACGAUAGCUAAUACCGCAUAAAAGUCGAUAUCGCAUGAUAUUGAUUUGAAAGGUGCAAAUGCAUCACUAAGAGAUGGACCUGCGUUGUAUUAGCUAGUUGGUGAGGUAACGGCUCACCAAGGCGACGACACAUAGCCGACCUGAGAGGGUGAUCGGCCACACUGGGACUGAGACACGGCCCAGACUCCUACGGGAGGCAGCAGUAGGGAAUCUUCGGCAAUGGGGGCAACCCUGACCGAGCAACGCCGCGUGAGUGAAGAAGGUUUUCGGAUCGUAAAGCUCUGUUGUAAGAGAAGAACGAGUGUGAGAGUGGAAAGUUCACACUGUGACGGUAACUUACCAGAAAGGACGGCAAU